This 301-nucleotide ribosomal RNA is filed under the name uncultured bacterium. RNAcentral describes it as "partial 16S ribosomal RNA". It matches the Rfam family "Bacterial small subunit ribosomal RNA", at positions 509 to 809 of the family's 1533-position model. The record is from RNAcentral.
CAGUAGCCGCGGUAAUACGGAGGAUCCAAGCGUUAUCCGGAAUCAUUGGGUUUAAAGGGUCCGUAGGCGGUCUUGUAAGUCAGUGGUGAAAGCCCAUCGCUCAACGGUGGAACGGCCAUUGAUACUGCAGGACUUGAAUUAUUGGGAAGUAACUAGAAUAUGUAGUGUAGCGGUGAAAUGCUUAGAGAUUACAUGGAAUACCAAUUGCGAAGGCAGGUUACUACCAAUUGAUUGACGCUGAUGGACGAAAGCGUGGGUAGCGAACAGGAUUAGAUACCCGCGUAGUCCCUGUCUCUUAUAA